CCAAAGCUGGCGACCGGCGCACGGGUGAGUAACACGUAUCCAACCUGCCUCAUACUCGGGGAUAGCCUUUCGAAAGAAAGAUUAAUAUCCGAUAGCAUAUAUUUCCCGCAUGGGUUUUAUAUUAAAGAAAUUCGGUAUGAGAUGGGGAUGCGUUCCAUUAGUUUGUUGGGGGGUAACGGCCCACCAAGACUACGAUGGAUAGGGGUUCUGAGAGGAAGGUCCCCCACAUUGGAACUGAGACACGAUCCAA
RNAcentral lists this ribosomal RNA (250 nucleotides) under uncultured bacterium. RNAcentral describes it as "partial 16S ribosomal RNA". It matches the Rfam family "Bacterial small subunit ribosomal RNA", at positions 82 to 334 of the family's 1533-position model. The record is from RNAcentral.